AUGAGGCGGCGGCCGUGCGCUAGCCCCGAGCCCCGCGGUGCCGAGCACAGCAGCUGCAGCAGCGCCAUCAGGCACAGCAAGGCGCCCGGCAAGGUCCCCGUGCGGGCCCCGGCGCCGCCCAGCAGCGCGGCUAGCAUCGCGGGCAGCAGCGGCCGCCGGACGCGGUGCGGAGCGGAGACGAGGCUCGGGUGGCGGCGGGUGUUCGCUCCGGCACCGCGGCCGGGGCUCCCUGAGAAGCGCGGCGACGCAGGUCCGGGUCCGGUAGACGGUUGGAGGCGCUCAGUGCCGUUCCGGGGGGACGCGGCGAAGCUGCAGGAGCGCGCGGCGCCGGGGGUGCAUGGUGCUAGGCGCCUGCAGACAGUCGUGCGGCCGGCGGCUCCUCGGUUCCCGGCUCAGCGGCGCGUAGCACUUCGCAGCUCUGGCAUCCCGCCUUCCCGCGGCCAGGACGCUUGGUCCCCUCCCCCUCUACCCCGGUCUGGGCCGCGCUCCGGGAAGUUCUGGGCGCCAGGCGCAGGGAGGACCCCGAAACUCGGAGCGUUUCUCUGCUCCGAGACCCGGAGCUUGGGGAGCGGAUCCGCGGAGCCCGGCUGCGGACUAGCUCGCCGCGAGGCUUUAAAUACAAAAGUGGGCCGGGAGCCCCCGUGUGGUGCCGCGGCGCCCCCUCAUUAUGCAUGCAUAGAAAAGCAAACAAACAAAAACAUUAGCAACGCUCCUCCGGCUCGCCGAGCCCUGGCCCCGCGCGCUCCAGGCUUGCCCGCUUUCUCCUUUCUCCACUCUCCGGCGCCCUUUGCUCGGCCCCCUUCCCCGGCUUUGCGAGCUGCUAUUGGUCCAGCCUGUUGUUGUUGAAACUUUUUUUUUUUUUUCCGAGCCGCUGGAGUGGGGCUGCAGAGUGGGGGAGGGCGGUGGGCAGCUCACAUUCAGGCAUUCAGGGCUUGAAAGGAACGGCUUAGGGAGCCUGACACAGGCCCAGCUCCUCCCACUCUUCAGGAGGCUGGGAUACCGAACCCCAGCUCGCGCACAGAGCCAGCGGGCAGGGCUUAGGGCCAGCUGCCUGCAUCCGGCUCAGCCACCGGCCUUUUUGUUCCCUUCCUCCGCCCCCUUUUUGUUUGGGUGGGGGGACACUUUUAUUAAUUCUUACUGAUCCCCCAUCUUUGCAUCCGAGAAAGUUCGAAAGUCACUUUAAUUUUCAGGCUCCUCAUCUCUGAGUUCUGAUCACCUCGGGGGGUAUAGCGAAGGCAGGGAGUUUUGAGAAUUCAUUGUAAGACUUUAAAAACUUAGACACAGAUUGCGCGCGCGGGCACACACGGGUUCUCUCUCUCUCUCUCUGUCUCUGUCUCUGUCUGUCUCUCUCUGUCUCUCUCUCUGUCUGUCUCUCUCUCUGUCUCUCUCUGUCUGUCUCUCUCUCUGUCUCUCUCUCUCUCUCUCUCUCUCUCUCUCUCUCUCUCUCUCUCUCUCUCUCUCUCUCACACACACACACACACACCGAGCCACCAUCACAACCACGACCUCUACCACCACCACAAGAAGGACACUUUCCACCAGCUUUCAGUCCCCCUUUCCGGCAGGUAAGGCCCUCGCACUGGACAUCGUUUUCAAACUAAGAAAUCCAAAGAACUGAAACUAUUUCUUUACUCACGAUUUUUUUUUUUAAAUACGAACGGCAAUGACAAAUCUUAGCAUUAAAAACCCUGGGAAUGCUGAGCGCUACCACCUGGCUGCAGUUACAGCACAGAGGACGAGGGUAAAUUGACCCGCUACGUGCUUUAAACUGCACGUUUCAGUUCCUCGCUGUGUUUAAAGCAAAAGCCACCAGCAGAGCGGGCUUUGCAGUCAGAGCAGGACUCUCUCAAGCGACCUUAACUGUGGCGCAAUGCAGCUUUUGGCCACUAGAGGCACCGCGAGUCUGUGGCCUGUCAAAAACUGGCUCCUUCCUCUCCCCUUUCCAUGGUGAGACUAUCAACUCAGUCUGUCACAAAAUUUAAGGCUAAAUCGCUGCUGAAGCAAAGGAAGCCCCAGCUGCAGUGCGUUCAGAAAGUGGACUGUCCACCUCUCCAAAGAGUUAAAGAGUUUGAAAGGGCGAGAGUGAGGGCCUGACGGAUUAACCUGGCUUUUGGGAAAAGCUGGCUGCCUAGGCUGAGGAAGCUGUCUCUGAAACCUCACAGGAUGAGAGAGGCAGACUGAGCUGUGUGAAGCCACCGUGCUCCUACCCUAACCCUAAUUCAUGGUUAGGACCAUGAAUUUAGUAAUAGAAAACAAACGCAAAUCUAUCCUUAAAAACUAGCCAGAUGUGGUACAGCAAGCCUGUUUAUCCCAGGCAGAAGCGGGAGGAUCGCUGCAAGUUUAAGGACAGCUAGUUAGAUCCUGAGAGCUCCAGGCCACUUGCUUUGAGGUCAGAUUGCUCACUUGCUAAGGUCCUUUUUUAUCCUUAACAAUCUGUGAUCCUGAGCUCCUAAGAAGAAAGCCAGCCCUGGGAUGCAUCUUCUGGCUUCUUUAGAGAGCUCUCAAGACACCCUGCAGGAGAAUCAUCUGGAGACCUUGUGUUCAUAUCUGGAUUCCUAACUCUUUGAAUCUCUGACAGCUAAAACCCUGGAGGGCCUGAAAGUCUGCAUUUCCAACAAGAUUUAAGGCGGUGUGUGUGUGUGUGUGUGUGUGUGUGUGUGUGCGUGCGUGUGUGUGCGUGUGUGUGUGUGCGCGCGCGCGCGUGUGUGUGUGUGCGUGUGCGUGUGUGUGCAUGUGCGUGCGUGCGCGUGUGCGUGUGCGCGCGUGCGUGUGUGCGUGCGUGCGUGUGUGUGUGUGUGUGUGUGUGUGUGUGUGUGUGUGUGUGUGUGUAUGCGCGCGUGCGUGCAGUGUUACUGAUGCUUCAGAGCUGCUUACUGGGGGAAUGUUCUGACUGUGUUUGUUCUAAAGGUUACAAAUAGUUCACCUUUGCUGGUCACAUGAAUCCAUCUUAGCCUUGAUUCAGGUCUCAGUGGGAGCUAAGGGAGGUCACGAGUGCUCAUCCUGAAGACAUCUUUACAGACUCAUGGCCUUGACGUGGAAGGCCAGAGGAACAGGCAGCCACAGCAGGCUGUGUGCAUUCCCCUCUUUCAAAUAUAGGCUUUCCUGGGUCCUGGGCUUUCACUCUUUAAGGACACCAUGUCUAUGGAUUCUCCGUUCCCUCCUUCCUUCCCUGUCCCUUCUCUCCCUCCUCCCCUCUCCCGUUUCUCCCUCCCUCCUUCCCUUCCUCCUUCUUCCCCCUCCCUUCCUCCCUCCCUCCUCCCCUCCCUCCCUCUUUCCAUCCUUCCCCCCCCCCACCUCUCCUCUUAUUGACUUCUCACUCCUGAAGUCCCACCUGGCAUUUUACUCCCCAGUAGUUUCAGAGUAUCAGUCCAUGAUUAGCAUGGUGGGGAAGAGUGGUAGCAGGCAGGCAUGGUGCUGGAGUGGUGGCUGAGAGCUCACAUAUGAUCCUCAGUUGUAGACACAGGCUAGAGGAAUUACAAGGAGGAAUCGGAACUGGGUGAGGAAUAGAACUGAAAGGGACACUUGCUCUCAUGAUGGUGUCUACCUUAGAGUUUCUGUAGCCAUGCAUAGAUACCAUGACCAUGGCAACUCUUAUAAAGGAAUGCAUUUAAUUGGGGCUGGCUUACAGUUUAGAGGUUUGGUCCAUUAUUGUCAUAGAGGCAUGGCAGCAUGCAGGCAGGCAUGGUGAUGGAGAAGGAUCUGAGAAUUCCAAAGGCAUCAGAAAGAGACACUGGGCCUAGCUUAAGUAUCUGAAACCUCAAAAUCUGCCCCCCCCCCCCCCCCGCCCAGUGACACACUUCCUUCAACAAGGCCACAUCUACUCCAACAAAGCCAUGCCUCCUAACAGUGCCACUCCCUAUGAGUCUUUGGGUCAUUUUCAUUCAAACAACCACAGUGCUAUUAGGAGCCAAGGUCCUUCUUUUUAAAAAGCUAAACAGUAGACACAUUACUAAUAUUUUCUGAGCUCUGGUAUUGUCCCAAGAAGAACAAUAAAUCUUAGCCCAGUCAACCCAAAGUACCAUUAAGAAUAACACAGGAUGUGGGCUUAAGACCACAUUUAAUAUGGUUCUGUAUGUGGUGGGAGAUGACAAAAUGCUUCCCAUCAUAACCAAAAGAUGGAAAUUGCUGGUAUCUAGGGGGAUUCCUCUCUCUCUCUCUCUCUCUCUCUCUCUCUCUCUCUCUCUGUCUCUCUGUCUCUGUCUCUCUCUCUCUCUCUCUCUCUCUCUCUCUCUCUCUCACACACACACACACACACACCCCUAAUGGAGUGGUUUAGAUGGAGCAUGACAACUUCUUGACUUCUUAAGCCAGCUUGUAAACUCAGAACUGGCACACAUCAUUUGUUCUAUAGAAAAACCAACAGAGACCCAUGUCCUUAAAGAAAAAGAGAGUUCUGAAAUCCUCAUGCGUGAAAUGAGACUUACAUUGGUGAACAUGGGUCCCCCCUCUUGAAGUUAGAGGAAAGUGAACUAGGAAUUUAGUAGUGCUCUAGCUGGCUGGCUGAAUUGUCAAGAGUCAUUAAAACACAGGCAUCUUAAGUGGUAGAUCCACAAUAACUUGCUUUGUUUAUUGUUGCUUUUGAUGACCAAAAAAUACGAAGGCUUUUGUGUGAGGCAAACACUCAGUAGGUCUGAAAAUCAUUGACUGUUGAACUCUACAUUUCACACGUUGGAUGCCUAGCUCAUUCAUCCCCAAGGCCAUUGUUAUCACUUCUCUGCUGCUUCCUAGAAAGGAAGUAACUUGUUGGAAAAACGGGAAGAACAGAUAUUCCAACAGGAAAUGAACCCUCGACUUGAUCAACCAGGUCAAGUCAUGGGCUCAUGACCAACAAGCCAGGUCAAAGUCAUGUCAGAGACAAAACAACUCCAGUCAUUAGUCUUGUCUCUUUCAAAGGCUAUCUCCAUGUGCGCUGGAGGUCUGGUAAUUCUAAGGAAAGUUUGCUCCAGUCCACACUUCCUCGCUCUUCACUGCUUCCGGUUCCGUGGAUGCUUUCGUCCUUGCUGAACAGCAGUGUGUGUCUUUCAAGUCAUCCUGCAGGCCACAAGUUCUCAAGCAGGGAAGCAUCUGAGAGGCACACGCUUGCUUUUUCAAAGCACAUAUGUCUGAGACUAACGCCACUGCACUUCAGUUUCUCUCCGGGGACCAUGGGAUGUGGAGGUGGGUGGGCUGGUGUAUAUUUCUUAAGCAUAUCUCUGCUUAACUAAUCACUUUUGUGAUUAGUAAACUUUCAAACUUCAUAGAUGGAAUUAUAGAAUUAUCUCUGGGGGGAAAUGAUAACUUUUGUUUUUUUAAGUAUUGACAAGCAAGUAAACAAAAAUAAAUAA
This 5324-nucleotide long non-coding RNA is filed under the name Mus musculus (house mouse). RNAcentral describes it as "predicted gene, 48488". The record is from RNAcentral. Lineage: Eukaryota; Metazoa; Chordata; Mammalia; Rodentia; Muridae.